Molecule: ribosomal RNA, 468 nt
Filed under: uncultured bacterium
Lineage: Bacteria
Description: partial 16S ribosomal RNA
Rfam family: Bacterial small subunit ribosomal RNA
Source: RNAcentral
GACGAACGCUGGCGGCGUGCUUAACACAUGCAAGUCGAACGGAAAGGCCCUGCUUUUGUGGGGUGCUCGAGUGGCGAACGGGUGAGUAACACGUGAGUAACCUGCCCUUGACUUUGGGAUAACUUCAGGAAACUGGGGCUAAUACCGGAUAGGAGCUCCUGCUGCAUGGUGGGGGUUGGAAAGUUUCGGCGGUUGGGGAUGGACUCGCGGCUUAUCAGCUUGUUGGUGGGGUAGUGGCUUACCAAGGCUUUGACUGGUAGCCGGCCUGAGAGGGUGAACGGCGACAUGGGGACUGAGGGACGGCCCAGACGCCUACGGGGGGCAGCAGGGGGGAAUAUGGCACAGUGGGCGGGAGCGUGAGGCGGCAACGCCGCGUGCGGGAUGACGUCUUUCGGGUUGUAAACCGCUUUCGCCUGUGACGAAGCGUGAGUGACGGUAAUGGGUAAAGAAGCACCGGCUAACUACGUG